CAAGGCUUUGGUCCUUGACCUACCGUUAAUUUUUAUUAUAAUUACACAUGCAAGUCUCCGCAUACCAGUGAGUAUACCCACUUUGUUCGCCAUUCGACAUGUGGAGAGGAUAUCAGGCACGCGAAUAAAGUUAGCCCAUGACAUCUAGCGCCACCACCCCCACACGGGCAUGCAGCAGUGACAAACAUUGGGCAAUAAAUGAAAUUUUUGACUCAGUAAUAAUAAAUUAUGUUGGUUAAUUUCGUGCCAGCCGCCGCGGUUAUACGAAAGACUACAACUAACGGCAAAUCGGCGUAAAUCGUGACUAGAUGUCUAAGCCAACGGGAAAGAAAAUUUAGCCUAGCAGUAAAAUGCACAGGCCAAAAAGAAUAUGUACUCUUUCUUACAAAUUGACCUCACGAAAGCGCAGGCACAAACUAGGAUUAGAUACCCUAUUAUGCUGCGCCGUAAAUUAGACAGCACAUUUUUACACUCUCCUGUCCGCCAGAGAACUACGAGCGAAAAGCUUAAAACUCAAAGGACUUGGCGGUGUCCCAUAACAGCCUAGAGGAGCCUGUCCUAUAAUCCGAUGUUACCCGCUCUACCUAACCAUCUGUAGCACUCUACAGCCUAUAUACCGCCGUCGUCAGCCUACCCUAUGAAGGCGCACACGUAAGCUAAAAAGUUUUCACACUAAUACGUCAGGUCGAGGUGUAGCUAACCAGAUGGCAGCGAUGGGCUACAUUCCCUCAUCGAGGGCAUACGGAAAGUAUACUGAAACACCUACUAGAAGGCGGAUUUAGUAGUAAAAUAAAUUACCGUAUUUAUUUUAACCUUGCUCUGGGACGCGCACACACCGCCCGUCACCCUCUUCGAUGCCAAAUAAUACAUAAAUAAUAAGCAACCUAAUUAAAAGAAGAGACAAGUCGUAACAUGGUAAGCGUACUGGAAAGUGCGCUUGGCAA
RNAcentral lists this ribosomal RNA (944 nucleotides) under Geocalamus acutus. RNAcentral describes it as "12S rRNA". It matches the Rfam family "Bacterial small subunit ribosomal RNA". Lineage: Eukaryota; Metazoa; Chordata; Lepidosauria; Squamata; Amphisbaenidae. The record is from RNAcentral.